CAGCCGCCGCGGUAAUACGUAGGAUCCGAGCGUUGUCCGGAAUUACUGGGUGUAAAGGGCGUGUAGGUGGGUUCCUAAGUCGAUGGUGAAAUCCUGCAGCUUAACUGCAGAACUGCCUUCGAUACUGGGGAUCUUGAGUGCGGCAGAGGGAGAUGGAAUUCAUGGUGUAACGGUGAAAUGUGUAGAUAUCAUGAAGAACACCGGUAGCGAAGGCGGUCUCCUGGUCCGCAACUGACACUGAGGCGCGAAAGCGUGGGGAGCAAACAGGAUUAGAUACCCUGGUAGUCCACGCCUUAAACGAUGGGUACUAGGUGCUGGGUCGCAAGGUUCAGUGCCAAAGCUAACGCAUUAAGUACCCCACCUGGGGAGUACGAUCGCAAGGUUGAAACUUAAAGGAAUUGACGG
RNAcentral lists this ribosomal RNA (405 nucleotides) under uncultured bacterium. RNAcentral's name for it is "bacterial SSU rRNA". It matches the Rfam family "Bacterial small subunit ribosomal RNA", at positions 509 to 916 of the family's 1533-position model. The record is from RNAcentral.